UGGGGAAUUUUGCACAAUGGGGGAAACCCUGAUGCAGCGACGCCGCGUGAUUUAGAAGGCCUUCGGGUUGUAAAAAUCUUUUUUACGGGAUGAAAAUGACAGUACCGUAAGAAUAAGGUCCGGCUAAAUACGUGCCAGCAGCCGCGGUAAUACGUAUGGACCGAGCGUUAUCCGGAAUCAUUGGGCGUAAAGGGUACGUAGGCGGCCUAGUAAGUUAGAAGUGAAAUAAUAUAGCUCAACUAUAUAAAGCUUUUAAAACUGCUAGGCUUGAGAGAUGGAAGGGAAAGUGGAAUUCCUAGUGUAGCGGUGAAAUGCGCAGAUAUUAGGAAGAAUACCGGUGGCGAAGGCGACUUUCUGGUCAUCAUCUGACGCUGAGGUACGAAAGCGUGGGUAGCAAACAGG
This 402-nucleotide ribosomal RNA is filed under the name bacterium. Its description in RNAcentral is "partial 16S ribosomal RNA". It matches the Rfam family "Bacterial small subunit ribosomal RNA", at positions 355 to 776 of the family's 1533-position model. The record is from RNAcentral.